CAAGAUGCCACAUUACCCUUUACUUCUGAUUUCUUUAGCACUUCCUCGUGUUUACGAUGUGCUUAGGGCUGUGUAAUAACAACACACAGCCCAGGACUGAGAAUCCUUUUAUUUUGUCUGGUAUGAAAGACUUGAAAUUUCCCCGUAGUUUAAAGACCCGGGUCAGAUGCCUGAGUUGUCUCCGUCCCAGAUUCCUUUCUUCUUACUGCAGAGUUCUUAGCACAGACCUCAGAGGUGGAAAUGGCAUUGGGUGAUGCAGGGCAGCGAGAGCGUGAAGGUGUGUUGCGCGCACUUUGGACUGCGCACGGAUCUGUUCACUAGCGCAUCUUCAUAUACUGAUGUAUUCAGAAGCUUCUUCUAGCAACAUUCCCAGACAAAAGACAAACCAUGGAGCUACUACAGCCUCAGAUUUGUGGAACGGAGAGAGAAAGAGGAGCAGCAUCAAUGGAAGCA
Long non-coding RNA from Malaclemys terrapin pileata, 453 nucleotides. RefSeq lists it as uncharacterized. The record is from RefSeq and is a predicted model, not a curated record. The transcript has 3 exons. NCBI's taxonomy places the organism in Eukaryota, Metazoa, Chordata, Testudines, Emydidae.